This 463-nucleotide ribosomal RNA is filed under the name uncultured bacterium. RNAcentral describes it as "partial 16S ribosomal RNA". It matches the Rfam family "Bacterial small subunit ribosomal RNA", at positions 30 to 507 of the family's 1533-position model. The record is from RNAcentral.
CGAACGCUGGCGGCGUGCUUAACACAUGCAAGUCGAACGGAAAUGCCCUGCUUGCAGGGUACUCGAGUGGCGAACGGGUGAGUAACACGUGGGUGAUCUGCCCUGCACUUCGGGAUAAGCCUGGGAAACUGGGUCUAAUACCGGAUAUGACCUUCCAUGUAGUGUGGGGGGUGGAAAGAUUUAUCGGUGUGGGAUGAGCCCGCGGCCUAUCAGCUUGUUGGUGGGGUAAUGGCCUACCAAGGCGUCGACGGGUAGCCGGCCUGAGAGGGUGGACGGCCACAUUGGGACUGAGAUACGGCCCAGACUCCUACGGGAGGCAGCAGUGGGGAAUAUUGCACAAUGGGCGGAAGCCUUAUGCAGCGACGCCGCGUGGGGGAUGACGGCCUUCGGGUUGUAAACCUCUUUCGACAGGGACGAAGCUUCGGUGACGGUACCUGUAUAAGAAGCACCGGCUAACUACGUG